CUCUUCAAUCUCAGGACUCGC
This 21-nucleotide microRNA is filed under the name Canis lupus familiaris (dog). Its description in RNAcentral is "cfa-miR-676". Its record names the gene cfa-miR-676. The record is from miRBase by way of RNAcentral. Lineage: Eukaryota; Metazoa; Chordata; Mammalia; Carnivora; Canidae.